ACUAGGGAUCGACCGAUAUUGAUUUUUUAGAGCCGAUACCGAUACCGAUAUUCUGUGAACUUUCAGGCCGAUAGCCGAUAUAAUUUGCCGAUAUUCUGUACAUUUACCAUUUUGGAAAAUAAAAACUAUUUCUAAAGGUAAAUGCACAAAAUAUACAUGCCACGUGUAGUGGAUGCAGUGUGACAGGGGAGCUGUGUGUGUGUGUGUGCAGUGGAUGCAGUGUGUGUCUUUGUGUAGUGUGUGUGUAGUGGAUGCAGUGUGUUAAUUCCUGCUUGGUUCACUGCUGCCCACCUUUAGUUUAUUUAGUGAGCGCCUAACUCCUCUUUGUUGUGUCUUUGUGUAGUGUGUGUGUAGUGGAUGCAGUGUGUGUUUGUGUAGUGUGUGGGUUGUGGAUGCAGUGUGUGUUUGUGUAGUGUGUGUGGAGGAUGCAAUGUGUGUUUGUGUAGUGGAUGCAGUGUGUAUUUGUUUAGUGUGUGUAGUGGAUGCAGUUUGUAUUUGUUUAGUGUGUGUAGUGGAUGCAGUGUGUAUUAGUGUAGUGUGUAUAUAAUGAAAGCAGAGUGUUUGUGUAGUGUGUGGGUAGUGUGCGUAAAGUGAAUGCUGUAUAUACUAAAUGCAAAGUGUGUGUGUAUAUAAUGAAUGCAGAGUGUGUGUGUAUUUGUGUAGUGUGUGUAUAGUGAAUGUAGUGUGUGUUUGUAUAGUGUGUGUAUAUAAUGCAGUGUGUUUG
This is a non-coding RNA of Pelobates cultripes (western spadefoot toad), 724 nucleotides long. The record is from the annotation of a GenBank genome assembly. Lineage: Eukaryota; Metazoa; Chordata; Amphibia; Anura; Pelobatidae.